RNAcentral lists this ribosomal RNA (253 nucleotides) under uncultured bacterium. Its description in RNAcentral is "partial 16S ribosomal RNA". It matches the Rfam family "Bacterial small subunit ribosomal RNA", at positions 524 to 775 of the family's 1533-position model. The record is from RNAcentral.
UACGUAGGGUGCAAGCGUUAAUCGGAAUUACUGGGCGUAAAGCGUGCGCAGGCGGUUUUGUAAGUCUGUCGUGAAAUCCCCGGGCUCAACCUGGGAACUGCAUUUGUGACUGCAUCGCUGGAGUACGGCAGAGGGGGAUGGAAUUCCGCGUGUAGCAGUGAAAUGCGUAGAUAUGCGGAGGAACACCGAUGGCGAAGGCAAUCCCCUGGGCCUGGCACUGACGCUCAUGCACGAAAGCGUGGGGAGCAAACAG